UCGAACGAGAAAGUGGAGCAAUCCAUGAGUAAAGUGGCGCACGGGUGAGUAACACGUGACUAACCUACCCUUGAGUGGGGGAUAACCUGGGGAAACCUUGGCUAAUACCGCAUAACACCUACGGGUCAAAGGAGCAAUUCGCUUAAGGAGGGGGUCGCGGCAGAUUAGUUAGUUGGCGGGGUAAUGGCCCACCAAGACAGUGAUCUGUAUCCGGCCUGAGAGGGCGCACGGACACACUGGAACUGAAACACGGUCCAGACUCCUACGGGAGGCAGCAGUGGGGAAUUUUGCGCAAUGGGGGAAACCCUGACGCAGCAACGCCGCGUGGAGGAUGAAGUCCCUUGGGACGUAAACUCCUUUCGACCGGGACGAUUAUGACGGUACCGGAAGAAGAAGCCCCGGCUAACUUCGUGCCAGCAGCCGCGGUAAUACGAGGGGGGCGAGCGUUGUUCGGAAUUAUUGGGCGUAAAGGGUGCGUAGGCGGUUCGGUAAGUUUCGUGUGAAAUCUUCGGGCUCAACUCGAAGCCUGCACGAAAUACUGCCGGGCUUGAGUGUGGGAGAGGUGAGUGGAAUUUCCGGUGUAGCGGUGAAAUGCGUAGAUAUCGGAAGGAACACCUGUGGCGAAAGCGGCUCACUGGACCACAACUGACGCUGAUGCACGAAAGCUAGGGGAGCAAACAGGAUUAGAUACCCUGGUAGUCCUAGCCCUAAACGAUGAUCGCUUGGUGUGACGGGUACCCAAUCCCGCCGUGCCGAAGCUAACGCGUUAAGCG
RNAcentral lists this ribosomal RNA (773 nucleotides) under uncultured bacterium. Its description in RNAcentral is "bacterial SSU rRNA". It matches the Rfam family "Bacterial small subunit ribosomal RNA", at positions 62 to 866 of the family's 1533-position model. The record is from RNAcentral.